AUUGAACGCUGGCGGCAGGCCUAACACAUGCAAGUCGAGCGGAUGAAGGGAGCUUGCUCCUGGAUUCAGCGGCGGACGGGUGAGUAAUGCCUAGGAAUCUGCCUGGUAGUGGGGGAUAACGUCCGGAAACGGGCGCUAAUACCGCAUACGUCCUGCGGGAGAAAGUGGGGGAUCUUCGGACCUCACGCUAUCAGAUGAGCCUAGGUGGGAUUAGCUAGUUGGUGGGGUAAAGGCCUACCAAGGCGACGAUCCGUAACUGGUCUGAGAGGAUGAUCAGUCACACUGGAACGGAGACAGGGUCAAGGCGCCUACGGGAGGGAGCAGUGGGGAAUAUUGGACAAUGGGCGAAAGCCUGGUCCAGCCAUGCCGCGUGUGUGAAGAAGGUCUUCGGAUUGUAAAGCACUUUAAGUUGGGAGGAAGGGCAGUAAGUUAAUACCUUGCUGUUUUGACGUUACCAACAGAAUAAGCACCGGCUAACUUCGUG
This 484-nucleotide ribosomal RNA is filed under the name uncultured bacterium. RNAcentral describes it as "partial 16S ribosomal RNA". It matches the Rfam family "Bacterial small subunit ribosomal RNA", at positions 30 to 507 of the family's 1533-position model. The record is from RNAcentral.